This 254-nucleotide ribosomal RNA is filed under the name uncultured bacterium. RNAcentral describes it as "partial 16S ribosomal RNA". It matches the Rfam family "Bacterial small subunit ribosomal RNA", at positions 524 to 776 of the family's 1533-position model. The record is from RNAcentral.
UACGGGGGGAGCAAGCGUUGUUCGGAUUUACUGGGCGUAAAGGGCGCGUAGGCGGCCACCGCAAGUCGACUGUGAAAUCUCCGGGCUUAACCCGGAAAGGUCAGCCGAUACUGCGGGGCUAGAGUGCAGAAGGGGCAACUGGAAUUCUCGGUGUAGCGGUGAAAUGCGUAGAUAUCGAGAGGAACACCUGCGGCGAAGGCGGGUUGCUGGGCUGACACUGACGCUGGUGCGCGAAAGCUAGGGGAGCGAACGGG